UGGCGGACGGGUGAGUAACGCGUGGGUAACCUGCCUCAUACAGGGGGAUAACAGUUAGAAAUGACUGCUAAUACCGCAUAAGACCACAGCACCGCAUGGUGCAGGGGUAAAAACUCCGAUGGUAUGAGAUGGACCCGCGUCUGAUUAGGUAGUUGGUGGGGUAACGGCCUACCAAGCCGACGAUCAGUAGCCGACCUGAGAGGGUGACCGGCCACAUUGGGACUGAGACACGGCCCAA
RNAcentral lists this ribosomal RNA (238 nucleotides) under uncultured bacterium. RNAcentral describes it as "partial 16S ribosomal RNA". It matches the Rfam family "Bacterial small subunit ribosomal RNA", at positions 96 to 334 of the family's 1533-position model. The record is from RNAcentral.